UAGGAAUCUUGCGCAAUGGGGGAAACCCUGACGCAGCGACGCCGCGUGAGCGAUGAAGGCCUUCGGGUCGUAAAGCUCUUUUAGUGGGGACGAAAAAAAUGACGGUACCCACAGAAAAAGCACCGGCUAACUCCGUGCCAGCAGCCGCGGUAAUACGGAGGGUGCGAGCGUUAUUCGGAAUUACUGGGCGUAAAGAGCUCGUAGGCGGUUUAAUAAGUCUGAUGUGAAAGCCCUGGACUCAAUCUAGGAAGUGCAUUGGAUACUGUUAGACUCGAGUAUAGGAGAGGUGAGUGGAAUUCCUGGUGUAGAGGUGAAAUUCGUAGAUAUCAGGAGGAACAACGGUGGCGAAGGCGACUCACUGGACUAUUACUGACGCUGAGGAGCGAAAGCGUGGGGAGCAAAC
Molecule: ribosomal RNA, 403 nt
Filed under: uncultured bacterium
Lineage: Bacteria
Description: bacterial SSU rRNA
Rfam family: Bacterial small subunit ribosomal RNA
Source: RNAcentral